GACGAACGCUGGCGGCGUGCUUAACACAUGCAAGUCGAACGGAAAGGCCCUGCUUUUGUGGGGUGCUCGAGUGGCGAACGGGUGAGUAACACGUGAGUAACCUGCCCUUGACUUUGGGAUAACUUCAGGAAACUGGGGCUAAUACCGGAUAGGAGCUCCUGCUGCAUGGUGGGGGUUGGAAAGUUUCGGCGGUUGGGGAUGGACUCGCGGCUUAUCAGCUUGUUGGUGGGGUAGUGGCUUACCAAGGCUUUGACGGGUAGCCGGCCUGAGAGGGUGACCGGCAACAUGGGACUGAGGAAAGGGCCCGGCUUCUAACGGGGGGAAGAGGGGGGAAAUAUUGACAAAGGGGCGGAGGCUGAUGCAGCAACGCCGCGUGCGGGAUGACGGCCUUCGGGUUGUAAACCGCUUUCGCCUGUGACGAAGCGUGAGUGACGGUAAUGGGUAAAGAAGCACCGGCUAACUACGUG
RNAcentral lists this ribosomal RNA (467 nucleotides) under uncultured bacterium. RNAcentral's name for it is "partial 16S ribosomal RNA". It matches the Rfam family "Bacterial small subunit ribosomal RNA", at positions 28 to 507 of the family's 1533-position model. The record is from RNAcentral.